CAGCCGCCGCGGUAAUACGGAGGAUGCGAGCGUUAUCCGGAUUUAUUGGGUUUAAAGGGAGCGCAGACGGGUUUUUAAGUCAGCUGUGAAAGUUUGGGGCUCAACCUUAAAAUUGCAGUUGAUACUGGAGACCUUGAGUGCAGUUGAGGCAGGCGGAAUUCGUGGUGUAGCGGUGAAAUGCUUAGAUAUCACGAAGAACUCCGAUUGCGAAGGCAGCUUGCUAAAGUGUAACUGACGUUCAUGCUCGAAAGUGUGGGUAUCAAACAGGAUUAGAUACCCUGGUAGUCCACACGGUAAACGAUGGAUACUCGCUGUUGGCGAUAUACGGUCAGCGGCUUAGCGAAAGCGUUAAGUAUCCCACCUGGGGAGUACGCCGGCAACGGUGAAACUUAAAGGAAUUGGCGGG
RNAcentral lists this ribosomal RNA (406 nucleotides) under uncultured microorganism. RNAcentral's name for it is "bacterial SSU rRNA". It matches the Rfam family "Bacterial small subunit ribosomal RNA", at positions 509 to 917 of the family's 1533-position model. The record is from RNAcentral.